UACGUAGGGCGCAAGCGUUGUCCGGAAUUAUUGGGCGUAAAGAGCUCGUAGGCGGUUUGUUGCGUCUGCUGUGAAAACGCGAGGCUUAACCUCGCGCCUGCAGUGGGUACGGGCAGACUAGAGUGUGGUAGGGGAGACUGGAAUUCCUGGUGUAGCGGUGGAAUGCGCAGAUAUCAGGAGGAACACCGGUGGCGAAGGCGGGUCUCUGGGCCGUUACUGACGCUGAGGAGCGAAAGCAUGGGGAGCGAACAGG
This 253-nucleotide ribosomal RNA is filed under the name uncultured bacterium. RNAcentral describes it as "partial 16S ribosomal RNA". It matches the Rfam family "Bacterial small subunit ribosomal RNA", at positions 524 to 776 of the family's 1533-position model. The record is from RNAcentral.